RNAcentral lists this ribosomal RNA (444 nucleotides) under uncultured bacterium. Its description in RNAcentral is "partial 16S ribosomal RNA". It matches the Rfam family "Bacterial small subunit ribosomal RNA", at positions 354 to 796 of the family's 1533-position model. The record is from RNAcentral.
GUAGGGAAUAUUGGGCAAUGGUCGGAAGACUGACCCAGCCAUGCCGCGUGCAGGAAGACGGCCCUCUGGGUUGUAAACUGCUUUUAUCUGGGAAGAAAAAGGCCAUGCGUGGCAAAUUGCCGGUACCAGAUGAAUAAGCACCGGCUAACUCCGUGCCAGCAGCCGCGGUAAUACGGAGGGUGCGAGCGUUGUCCGGAUUUAUUGGGUUUAAAGGGUGCGUAGGCGGCUGAUUAAGUCAGCGGUGAAAGACUUCGGCUUAACCGGAGCAGUGCCGUUGAUACUGGUUGGCUGGAGUGUCGGAGGGGUACAUGGAAUUGAUGGUGUAGCGGUGAAAUGCAUAGAUACCAUCAGGAACACCGAUAGCGAAGGCAUUGUACUGGCCGACAACUGACGCUGAUGCACGAAAGUGUGGGGAUCGAACAGGAUUAGAUACCCCUGUAGUCC